GAAAUGCGAUAAGUAGUGUGAAUUGCAGAAUUCAGUGAAUCAUCGAAUCUUUGAACGCACAUUGCGCCCCUUGGUAUUCCAUGGGGCAUGCCUGUUCGAGCGUCAUCUACACCCUCAAGCUCUGCUUGGUGUUGGGCGUCUGUCCCACCCCCGCGCGUGGACUCGCCCCAAAUCCAUUGGCAGCGUUCCUUGCCCCCUCUCGCGCAGCACAUUGCGCUUCUCGAGGGCGGCUCCGGGACGCGAUCCAGCAAGAUGACCACCGUCUUUGACCUCGGAUCAGGUAGGGAUACCCGCUGAACUUAAGC
Molecule: unclassified non-coding RNA, 305 nt
Filed under: plant metagenome
Description: partial contains 5.8S ribosomal RNA, internal transcribed spacer 2, and large subunit ribosomal RNA
Rfam family: 5.8S ribosomal RNA (bases 1-105)
Source: RNAcentral